CCUACGGGGGGCUGCAGUGGGGAAUAUUGGACAAUGGGGGGAACCCUGAUCCAGCCAUGCCGCGUGUGUGAAGAAGGCCCUCGGGUUGUAAAGCACUUUCAGUGAGGAAGAACGCCUGGUGGUUAAUACCCAUCAGGAAAGACAUCACUCACAGAAGAAGCACCGGCUAACUCCGUGCCAGCAGCCGCGGUAGUACGGAGGGUGCGAGCGUUAAUCGGAAUUACUGGGCGUAAAGCGCGCGUAGGUGGCUUGAUAAGCCGGUUGUGAAAGCCCCGGGCUCAACCUGGGAACGGCAUCCGGAACUGUCAAGCUAGAGUGCAGGAGAGGAAGGUAGAAUUCCCGGUGUAGCGGUGAAAUGCGUAGAGAUCGGGAGGAAUACCAGUGGCGAAGGCGGCCUUCUGGACUGACACUGACACUGAGGUGCGAAAGCGUGGGUAGCAAACAGGAUUAGAUACCCGGGUAGUC
This 465-nucleotide ribosomal RNA is filed under the name Vreelandella stevensii. RNAcentral describes it as "partial 16S ribosomal RNA". It matches the Rfam family "Bacterial small subunit ribosomal RNA", at positions 338 to 795 of the family's 1533-position model. The record is from RNAcentral. Lineage: Bacteria; Pseudomonadati; Pseudomonadota; Gammaproteobacteria; Oceanospirillales; Halomonadaceae.